GGAUGUCAAAGGUAUGUCUCAGAAAAGUUUAAAAAUUUUUGGGCGGGAUUCGGGGCAUGUUUGGACCAUGGAGGCAAUGAGCCUCCAUGAUAGGGACGCAUCGUAGAGGCUAUUCCCUCGAUAUAGGGUCCUCGCCGUGUAGGCUAUUCCCCCGAUAUAGGGUCCACACCACAGAGGUUAUUCCUCCAUAAUUAGGUCCGCGAUACGGAGGCAUUGUAUUUAACAACAACAAUAACAACAACAACAACAUACCCAGAGUAUUUCCACCUAGUGGGGUCUGGGGAAGGUAGAGUGUACGCAGACCAUACCACUACCUCAAGAGAAGUAGAGAGGCUAUUUCUGAUAGAGCCCCAGCUUAGGACCAAUAACAGUAUAACAAAUACAAAAAGUAAGAGAAUACAAACUAGUAUGGUACACAAAACAAACUAAAAGUAUAACAAACACAAA
This 447-nucleotide long non-coding RNA is filed under the name Capsicum annuum. RNAcentral's name for it is "long non-coding RNA (CANN_LNC020157)". The record is from RNAcentral. Lineage: Eukaryota; Viridiplantae; Streptophyta; Magnoliopsida; Solanales; Solanaceae.